CACGGAAAACGGCGUCCAGGGCAGAUCUGUACACACACAGAGAGGGAUGUCCAGGUUAGAAACGAUCCACUCAGCUGGGAUCGGCUACAGGUGUGACGGUGUGUCGGUGUGUCUGCGUUACAUGACUGACACUGUGCAGCCAAACUUCCCACUCUUCACUCUCAGUCCAGGCAUAUCCCCUCUGAGUCUGCAGGGUAGCUUUGACACGUUCAUGCUGUCCUAUUAUGAUUCCUUCAGUGUGAACCUGCAGCCCAUUGUGCACUUAUGGCCGGACAUUAAGCAGGACAUCUGGACCAGUGUCUGCCUCACUGUGGACACCAGUAAGAGUGUGGUUCAGAUGUUCAGUGGCGGGUAUAUGAGCCCCAGGAAGGUAAUGCCUUAUCAGGUGAGAAUGGCGACAAAGUUAGAAUCAGCAUGUUAAAAACUGUGUAGAUGUAGAGACAGAAAGACAAAUUUACUAAACAGAGCAAAGCAGUGUGCGAUUUUUACUUGAAAUGUCUCCAAUAAGCGGAAUAGACACCUUUCCGAGGAAGUUCAUUUUCCUCACUUGUAUCCAUGAUUUCAUUCUCUCACAGCUCAUGGUCACAAGGAAAAAUAGAUCCGCUGAUAAACUUCGAGCUUUGCCUUAAUAUUCAGCCAUCUCUUAAUCACAUUACAGUCUGUCUCUCAAGAAACAAGACCCUGAGAUAGCUGGACUCCACCAGCUGGAACAGUAACUCCUUUCCACCUUUUUUGUGCCUGAGACUUCAACAGAAGACAUAAUAAUGACAACACAGAAUCAUUUUUGUUUCGUUUUGUUUAUAUCUAAGUGAAGAAAAAAAAAUCAAAUGACUCCUUCAUUGUAAUCCAGAUUUCUAAAAGGCUUUAAAAAGUAGACAAUAUUAUUCUCAAAAUCACUUAAUCAUCUGUAAUUUUGAUCUUCUCUUUUUUCUGUGUGUUCAGUAUGUGUGGUCAGGCGAGCCUGUGAUUAGUUUCCCAGGCUUUGAUGGUCAGCUGACAGACGUCCAGGUGUGGGACUAUCCUCUGCGAUAUAGAGACAUCAUCUACUACAUGAGCAGAAGUUAUUACGGGUAAGAUCUCUAUGCUGAACUCACACACCGACCGUUUAAUCAUAACCACAGUAUAAAAGAAAAUAUUAAAGAUAUAAUUUUUUUUUUUUUUCAUUUAAAACAGGCCUUGACUUAAAUUUGUUUUUUAAUGUUUAAGUUUUGUUUUAAAGGCUUUUUAAAAGUGUGUUUUGGUUUGGUUUUAGGUCUUACAGCGGCUCCGUCAUCUCCUGGUCCAACAUCAGAUACAAUAACAGAGGAAGGGCAGUCUUGGAGGACACCUUUGACAUGCGAGCAAAAGUUGAGCAAGAGAGUAGACGAAAGGAAAAGAAGAUGAGAUUCUUCAGUGUGGAGGAGGAAAACAAGCUGCUGCUUUAAGUCAGUCCCCACAAACUCCUUUGUUAAAAUGUUAAGAUUUCAACCAGAAAUAAACAUGUUUGCAGCCUGCUGCCAAAUAAACAAACAAAAGCUGGUGUUGUCGCUAUAAAUAGUUUCCACCUAUCCCACUGUUGCACCAGGCUGAAAACAUGUUCAUCUGUCCUGUGAAGCUGAGAUGUCUUUUUCCCAUUGGCUAAAAAGUGGAUGGUGGUCCUUCCCCUUCUUCUUUUGUAUUAAUGUAUAUAUCAGAGUUCACUUCAUGCAGCCGAACAGCGUAAUCGGUAAUCGGUUAUCUUUGUUUCACCAGCCUUUUUUGUUGUUUUUUCGAUCAUAAUCACUUGAAGUCGCCAAAUGUCAGUGGAAGUUUUUACACAGAGGUCAGGGCUGAGUUUAAUUUUCCCAUUGACUUCUAAAGGACAGUCUUUUUGAAGCUACAGGAGUUGCCAUCUGGUGGCCAAUAUGAAAAAUGCAGUUUUAAUGCACUUCCAAAAGCACCGACUCUGUAAGCGUAUAAUCUCAUAUUUUACUUGGAAGUUUUACUUUUAAACUAUGAAACGUCUUAAGAAAAAACAACAAUACAUCUCAAAUUUAUAAAGGAAUUCUGCUGUAGUCAUAGAAACCUGUCAGCAAGACUCACUGGGCUUACACUGUAAAGGAAAUGAGGAAAUAAUUAACUUUAUGACUUAAAUAAACAGAAAUUAUCCGUAAAUUAAACAAAAUGCCAAUUUUACUGUGUAAGAAAAUGAAAAUGAUAUUGUAAAUUGUGGGGGGAAAAUCAACAGAAAAACAAACAUUUUCCUCUGUUUCAUCAUAAAUACUGUACUUUUUCAGAGCAUGGGCUGCAGUCUGAAGUGGAUUAAUCCUGCCUUUUUACAUCUGUAUUUAAUAUUCAGUAUGUUGAUGUGUAUGUUGGAUAUUCUGUUAUUCAACUGUGCUUUUAUAUUGCUGAUGUAAAUGUGAUUAGCACUGUUGUCCCUUACCAACUUACAAGAAAAAAAUCAAUACAAUCAACGUUUGCAGGCCUAUGUCACCUUACAAUGAUAGAGCCAAGUCCAACUUAAUUGUUUAUGUAUUUUAAAAUUUCACAAUCACCGUACAAAUAUGAGUGUACAGGAAAGGAGUGUCCCCUUAUCUGUAAAAUAUCUGGAAUUUAGGCCAGGUUAAACCAUUGAAAAGCUCAGUAUACUCCUAAUAUACACAGGUUAUGUAAGAUGGUGAAAUAUUGUUUUUUUUCCCAAAAAUUACCAAGAAAUUAUCAACUACUUAAAUUUACUUACAAUGUAAUUAUUUCUUCAUUCGCAUAGAAAACAUGAAUUUAUGCAUAACUUAAAAUCACUUACACAGUACUUCACAUGAUUUCCAGAAUAGUGUCUCCUUUCCUGUAAAACAUCUGAAGUUAUGUAAUUAUUAAAAUUACUUAUUUACUACCGAAAAUGACUUACACAUUACAUACUUGAGUACAUACUAAAUUAAGUACUUGUGCAGUACAUAAUUUACUUACAGUAUAACUAUUUCUAGUGUGCCUAGCUUUAAUUAUUUGUAGGUAAACUUAAUUCUAACUUUAAAUAACAUACAUGGAAAUUACAUUUAAUUAUGCUCUUAGUCACGGGUAUUAUAAUGUAUUACUAAAAAGUGCUUAUUUUAAGCAAAUUUCCCACUUGUGGGACUAAUAAAGGUUUAUCUUAUCUUAUUCCUAAACUUACCCACUAACUGUCUUGUGUUCCAGCCUAACCUCAGCCGACCUGUCUCACUGUUGGAUUUCUCUUUCUAACAUGGCCAUGUCUUAUUUAUUUUACAAGUAAGUAAAUAAGUAAAACUUUAUAAGUACGUCAUAGGAGCCAACAAUGCAUAAAAAAACAAAAUUAGAGAAAUUAAUAAAAAGCUGAUUUUAAAAGAUGUUUUUAACUGGCUUUUAAAUAAGACCUUACCAGAGGCAGGUGAAAACACUGAGCACAUAUGAACCAAUGCACUGUAAGACACUUUCGAACAAAAGUGUAGUUAAAAUGUCCAGAGAGCAAGAAAACGCUGUCAUUGUACCACUAAGCUUCGUUACUGCUGCAAAACUGCCUAAGAUAACAGGUCGAGCUGAUGUGACAACCGUCUGCAUAGAUGCUGAGGAAGAGAUAUUAUUUCUUACAUUUCUGACCUUAAAACAAAAAAUGAAAGAAAAUAAGAAAAGAAAUAAGAAAAUAUAUACAACAUAAAGAGUCUUUAGAUAGUGUGCAGAUAACAUCAGUCUACCCAGUGUCAUAAAAAGAUUUUCACAGUUCUGCCCUUUUACUUAUUCUGUGGCCAUAAGGUUUGAAAACAGCCUCUGGGAAUCUUAUAUCCUCUUUCCGAAAUGCUUCAGUAUCAGAGGAAACAAAACAAAAGCUCAAGAACAAAAUGUGGAACUAAAAAUCUGUUUUGGUUACCGUUCAAUCUGUUUUCAUGUUUCAUGUUAGGUGGGACUUGUGGUCCUCCUACAAAAACUGUGUGUCAGAAAGAAUCUGUUUACCAAUCUGUUUGCUGCAUUACUAUGUGUAAACUAUUUCACAGAUGUAAAUACACGCACUGAAAUAUAAUGAAAUGAGGCUCUCUAGCAUUCUGUACUGAGAAUUAUCGUUGCAGCAUCAACAUACGCGCACACAUGCAGGAUAAAACUUCACGUUUCCACACAUUCAAACCUUCCUGCUCCUGUUUGAAAUAUGUUGCUUACUUGCGAUGAUUUUACAUCUCAACAUUUGUUACUGAGUGACGGAAAUAAGAUUUCCUUAAGAUUAUUCAGAGAUCUAGCAUCAGCGCUUGUAGACUUUAAAAAACUGCAGCAAACAGAAAGCUGCCUCUCUCCACUUUGUUUUGCCAGGUCUCCUACACCUGAAUGCCAAACCCUGUGGAGUGAAAAUGCAGAUACUCAUGCAUCAACCCAGCACCUCAACCUACUGAGCAGAAUGUGAUAGCCAACUGUAUCAAAAGCUGAGGUAAGGGCCAACAUGAGCAGCACAGAACAGUAACACUUAUCACUCUGCAUCAAAAUGUCAUUUGAUACUCUCAGACCAAGCCAAACAAAAUAUCUGACUCCAGGGAGCCCCUCCUUUCUUAUUUUUUACUGGGCUAAUAUUUCAGCUCAUGCUACCCUAACAUGGCACCCUUUCUUAAAUAAAUGUGUCUUGACUAAUGUACUCAUAGUAAACUGGUAUAUUCAGUCAGAAAAGUGUCUGGAGCUCUGUGUGAAAGUUUGGGCAACAAGUUUAAGGAAGUGAAAGAUGAAAUUUACUGACACAGCAAGCUGUUAAUACGAGAUAAAGUUCAGCACUGGUUUGAGUAGAGGAAGUAAAACCUCACAUACAGAUUUAAUGAAAGCUAAACUAACUUAAGAACUAGAAUUUCCAUAUAGUAUUGGUUCUUGUGUCAGUUUUACCUCUUGUUAAAUGAUGUGGAAAAGCUGUUGUGGUGAGCAGAGCUACUCAAUCUUUUAUUGUUAUUUUAGUCUAAAUAGACUGGAAUCAGCCUUUAUGGACUGUAUUCAUACUGCACAGCAGUCAUGACCUCUGUGUUGAACUUGCAGCCAGGUUGAGGUGUGUUUGCGGUUCAGGACAGCACAAUGAGACAUCACAUGGUCCUCUUCAUGAUAGAUUCCUCCAUGUAGACAGUUACAGCUCAGUGAACUGAACCGGAUUACUGACACAUUAUCAAUUAUUCAAAUAUUCUAAAAACAGGUCCAUUGCUUUUGUGUUGAUGUUUUUUUUAAAGUAUUUGAGCAGUGAGUUUCUGUCACACUGUGCUGUGUGGAUUGUUGAUUAACUUUAGCAGAGCCAAAUAUAGGAUGCAGGAGAGGCACGAAACUCAAAGGAAGCUUUCAAAGCUGAUAGUCCAGGAAGCAAACAAAGUCCAAAAUGCCCAAAACACACAGGAAUAAUGUCAGAGUCCAAACACCAGAAGUCAGAAGGGAUGCAAAUACAGGACGCACAGAGCAAGGAAACACACAGCUGCAAGAACAUCACGACAAAGGACAAAGGAAGACUGAGAAAAUAUAUACAAGAAAAAGACAGUUAACAUAAGAAUAAUAAUAAGAAGAAGAAGAAGACGUUUAUUUAUGUAGCGGUUUUUAAAACACACAGUUAUAAAGUGCUUCACAGUUUGGAUAAAAAACACAUUACAUUAAGUUUUACAUGUUAUCCAUGCAAACUCAGAGACGUAGGCACUGUCUAAACCAGGGGUCGGCAACCCUGGGCACGCGUGCCACAGCUGGCACGCGAAGGGUUAACUGAUGGCACUGAUGCGCCACUGAUGCAGUCUAUCUGGGUCAGAUAUAAACCAAGUUUAGGUGUAGUUUAUUUUCAUUGUGCUGACUUUUUACAGUCAGUUACAAUAAGCGGAAUCGUCCGGUAACGGAGUUUGUCCCGGACUUCAGCUAGAAUGGAAAAAGACACAAAGCUGGAGUUAUUCUGUGUCUUUACGCUGUCAGCUGCCUCUUCAUCUCUCAUUCUCUCCCCUCCCUCUCCUGUUGCUACUUAAAUCAUGAAACUCAUCAGUGAUCAGCUGAUCGGUAUUUCUGACGCAAGUCCGUCUCUCUUGUUUGUUUAUCGCCCACUUUGCGCCAGAAAGAGGAAACCUGCGGAUGUCGCGCUAAACAACAGCAGCACGUUUAAGCUUGAUCAGCUGUUGUUAGAAUUUAUUUAAUAUUAAUUUCUAGUAUCAGCUGAUGUUUGCUGGAGCCACAGCUGUAAAAGCUGCUGGUCAUGAUAUCGGUUUGGAUAUGUGGUGAGAGGGAAACAUGCAGAUGAAACCAGGAGAUGUCCUUACUGAAUCAUCAGAGCUGAACUGGUGAUGGAGAAACAGGUUUACCUUUUAGGUGACAUGGAUAAGUUGAAGGGAAGUCAUGAGCUGUUUCUGAGAGACAAAUAACACCAGGAUCCUUUUCUACGUAGCUGACAGCUGGUAACUGUGCAGGGGCGGGUCUAGCAAAGUUUUGCCAGGGGGCCAUGUAGGGCAUUAACAGGUAAAAGGGAGCACAAAGAAAUACUUUUCUUUCUUAUUCUCAUUUAAAAUGUCUAACUUUUAUUAAAUAAUUGUCCGAAUCUUACAACCAAAGUUUUUAUCUGAUGAAAAAUGUAUAGAAAUCAUCUGCUUCAGGAGCUGUCCGCUCAGCGCAGCAUCAGCACCGCAGAAA
Oreochromis aureus is the source of this 6576-nucleotide long non-coding RNA. The record is from Ensembl. NCBI's taxonomy places the organism in Eukaryota, Metazoa, Chordata, Actinopteri, Cichliformes, Cichlidae.